Molecule: ribosomal RNA, 429 nt
Filed under: Gram-positive bacterium ADG_ECW
Lineage: Bacteria
Description: bacterial SSU rRNA
Rfam family: Bacterial small subunit ribosomal RNA
Source: RNAcentral
GAACGAACGCUGGCGGCAGGCUUAACACAUGCAAGUCGAGCGCCCCGCAAGGGGAGCGGCAGACGGGUGAGUAACGCGUGGGAAUCUACCAUUUGCUACGGAACAACAGUUGGAAACGACUGCUAAUACCGUAUGUGCCCUUUGGGGGAAAGAUUUAUCGGCAAAUGAUGAGCCCGCGUUGGAUUAGCUAGUUGGUGGGGUAAAGGCCUACCAAGGCGACGAUCCAUAGCUGGUCUGAGAGGAUGAUCAGCCACACUGGGACUGAGACACGGCCCAGACUCCUACGGGAGGCAGCAGUGGGGAAUAUUGGACAAUGGGCGCAAGCCUGAUCCAGCCAUGCCGCGUGAGUGAUGAAGGCCCUAGGGUUGUAAAGCUCUUUCACCGGUGAAGAUAAUGACGGUAACCGGAGAAGAAGCCCCGGCUAACUUC